Papilio polytes (common Mormon) is the source of this 699-nucleotide long non-coding RNA. RefSeq lists it as uncharacterized. The transcript has 4 exons. The record is from RefSeq and is a predicted model, not a curated record. Lineage: Eukaryota; Metazoa; Arthropoda; Insecta; Lepidoptera; Papilionidae.
ACCUUUUAUGAUAGAAACGUCAACGCCUUGACAUAAUAUGCUGUAAGAAAAUUAGGUGAAAAUUUACAAAAGCAUAAUAUGCGCCCUGUCUUCGUUUAUAGAAGAUAUUCGCAAUACUUUAAAAAUGUGAAAAGAAUCGCCUGGUAUAUUUAUUAUAGAAUUUAGUUUAAGAUUAUAAAUUUAAAAUGUCUACACUUGAAAGUGACCAGCAAAUGGAAUAUGUUAUAGGAGAAGUUUAUAACCGAUUAAAUGAGAUCUUACAAACAUCGCUGAUGAUAAUUUUAGCAGCUAUUGCAGUACUGGUCUUUUCUAUGUCAGAAGUUGUCCAUGCGUCGAAACUUUGUUAACAAAAGAAUCCUAUCCAGUUACUUCUUCAAUUUUGAAAGAUAUUGACUUAGAUGUUGAGACACGUAAGACAAAAUCAAACGAUAUAUUUAAAUCUAUUAUGAUCAUAGAGAAAGAAGCAGAGAAGACGACUACAUCUAAAGAUAGUUGUCAAGGUCGAAACAAUUACAAUAUAGAUGAGGAUUUUAUAAGAGAGAUAGGAUUGUCAGAGUGUUUUAAAUUGCCGCAUCUAAAUGAAAUCUAAAAAAAGAUUAGUGCAACGGUACAAAGAAAAUGCUUUUCUCUGCCUAUCAAGCUAUAGCUCAAUUUUUAUUAUUAUUAUACGAUUUAUGUUUAAUAAUUAUUAUUUCUUAC